CCCCUAGUAACGGCGAGUGAACCGGGAAGAGCUCAAAUUUGAAAUCUGGCGUGCUCAGUGCGUCCGAGUUGUAAUCUAUAGAGUCGUUUUCCGUGCCGGACUGUGUCCAAGUCCCUUGGAACAGGGUAUCAAAGAGGGUGAUAAUCCCGUACUUGACACAAUGACCGGUGCUCUGUGAUACGUCUUCUACGAGUCGAGUUGUUUGGGAAUGCAGCUCAAAAUGGGUGGUGAGUUCCAUCUAAAGCUAAAUAUUGGCGAGAGACCGAUAGCGAACAAGUACCGUGAGGGAAAGAUGAAAAGCACUUUGGAAAGAGAGUUAAACAGUACGUGAAAUUGUUAAAAGGGAAACGAUUGAAGUCAGUCGUGACUGAGAGGCUCAGCCGGUUCUGCCGGUGUAUUCCCCUCAGUCGGGUCAACAUCAGUUUUGUUCGGUGGAUAAGGGCAGUUGGAAGGUGGCACCCUCGGGUGUGUUAUAGCCAGCUGUCGCAUACAUCGGAUGAGACUGAGGAAUGCAGCUCGCCUUUAUGGCCGGGGUUCGCCCACGUUCGAGCUUAGGAUGUUGACAUAAUGGCUUUAAACGACCCGUCUUGAA
This 592-nucleotide ribosomal RNA is filed under the name Papiliotrema flavescens. RNAcentral's name for it is "partial large subunit ribosomal RNA". It matches the Rfam family "Eukaryotic large subunit ribosomal RNA", at positions 77 to 658 of the family's 3401-position model. Lineage: Eukaryota; Fungi; Basidiomycota; Tremellomycetes; Tremellales; Rhynchogastremaceae. The record is from RNAcentral.